Molecule: ribosomal RNA, 594 nt
Filed under: Elaphe sauromates (Sarmatian rat snake)
Lineage: Eukaryota; Metazoa; Chordata; Lepidosauria; Squamata; Colubridae
Description: partial 12S ribosomal RNA
Source: RNAcentral
AUAAUAUUAACGGCGUAAAGCACGACUAAAAAUAAGUUAAAACAUUAGGAACGAAGCCAAACCGGGCCGUAAAAAGUCAUAGGCCACACUAACCACACCCUAACAACAAACAACUUCAACUCGUGAAAGUUAGGAUACAAACUAAGAUUAGAUACCUUACUAUGCCUAGCCGUAACACAACAAUCAAACUACCAAUUGUUCGCCAAAUAACUACGAGUAAAAACUUAAAAUUUAAAAGACUUGACGGUGCCUCAAAACAGCCUAGAGGAGCCUGUCUAAUAACUGAUACCCCACGCUUAACCCAACCUACCCUGGCCAAACAGUCUAUAUACCGCCGUCGCCAGCCCACCUUAUGAAAGAAACAAAGUGAGCUAAAUAGUAACGCACUAACACGACAGGUCGAGGUGUAACUUAUGGAGAGGACCAAGAUGGGCUACAUUUUCUAAACUAGAAAACACGGAUUAACCCAUGAAAAAGAAACUGAAGGAGGAUUUAGAAGUAUGCCGGGAACAACUAACCCCGCAGAAAUCAACGCAAUGAGGCGCGUACACACCGCCCGUCAUCCCUGUCAACCAACUACAAAACAUAUAUAAA